RNAcentral lists this small RNA (75 nucleotides) under Xanthomonas hortorum. RNAcentral describes it as "sX9 sRNA". It matches the Rfam family "Xanthomonas sRNA sX9". Lineage: Bacteria; Pseudomonadati; Pseudomonadota; Gammaproteobacteria; Lysobacterales; Lysobacteraceae. RNAcentral also lists the same sequence under 5 other names. The record is from RNAcentral.
AUGUACCGCUCGUACCUGCAGUUCCUCCGCGCCGUUCGCACCCACCUGGCGACUGGUCCCUACGCUUUGUUGCUC